RNAcentral lists this small nuclear RNA (107 nucleotides) under Procavia capensis (Cape rock hyrax). Lineage: Eukaryota; Metazoa; Chordata; Mammalia; Hyracoidea; Procaviidae. The record is from RNAcentral.
GUGCUCACUUCGGCAGCACAUAUACUAAAGCUGGCAUGAUAUAGAGAAGAUUAGCAUAGCCAUUGUACAAGGAUGACACACAAAUUUGUGAAGCAUCACAUAUUUCA